GGACGACAGGGUUCGGUUGUAAAGUUCUGUUGGUCUGAGUGUGAAGAAGUGAAAACCUCAGUCCGGUCUGAGACUUUCAUUAUCAAUUCCUCUGAAUGUUUCUCUGCUAAUGAAUAAAAUGUCAGAGAAGCGCCAGCUGUUGUGAGUCUACUGAACGCACCACGACUGAUGAAUAUUUGGGCGGGACUUCGCCGCCGUCCGCGGCUGUCGGUUGGUCGGCCGUCCCGCCACUCCUCCGCCCUCAGCCAAUGGUUGCCCCGGAAACGGCCCCGGCUGCUGCGCCGCGAGAGAAGAAGCCGAAGCGCGGUGAUGAAACGGAGCGGUGACGUCAGAGGAGCAUACGGCAGGAAGCAGUGACGCAGAGCGAGUGACGGCCGGAGGUGGUGCGUCAUCAGAGAGAAGCACACAGCUGCUGACUGAUGUGUUAGGCCCGGAGGAGUGUUUUCAAAGUAAAAGCCCAGAACGGUUUUUGUUUCUCAGUGAACUACAGGAAGAGACCAGGAUCUGCUGUGACCCCCCUUUAAACCAGCUCCAGGUCUCUGUAGUCACGAUCAGGUUUUAGGAGUACCUGGUUACGAUCUGCUUUAAUGAUAACAUGACAUGUAAAGACCUGAUCCAGGUGCCCUCCUCCAGGGAUCAGGUCUUACUGAGGGUCCUGGUCUUAAGCCCCAGAGGAAGUA
Long non-coding RNA from Lates calcarifer (barramundi perch), 680 nucleotides. RefSeq lists it as uncharacterized. Lineage: Eukaryota; Metazoa; Chordata; Actinopteri; Centropomidae. The record is from RefSeq and is a predicted model, not a curated record. The transcript is spliced from 2 exons.